Molecule: non-coding RNA, 72 nt
Organism: Phrynosoma platyrhinos (Desert horned lizard)
Lineage: Eukaryota; Metazoa; Chordata; Lepidosauria; Squamata; Phrynosomatidae
Source: the annotation of a GenBank genome assembly
CCCAGUGUGGUGUAGUGGUUUGAACAUUGGACUAUGACUCUGGAGACCAGGGUUCGAAUCCCGGCUCAGCGC